GUGGGGAAUCUUCCGCAAUGGACGAAAGUCUGACGGAGCAACGCCGCGUGAGUGAAGAAGGUUUUCGGAUCGUAAAGCUCUUUCGUUAGGGACGAACGUGCUCUUUGUGAAUAAUGAGGAGUAAUGACGGUACCUAAAUAAGAAGCCACGGCUAACUACGUGCCAGCAGCCGCGGUAAUACGUAGGUGGCAAGCGUUGUCCGGAAUUAUUGGGCGUAAAGCGCGCGCAGGCGGGAUAUCAAGUCUGUCUUAAAAGUGCGAGGCUCAACCUCGUGAGGGGACAGAAACUGGUAUUCUUGAGUGUCGGAGAGGAAAGUGGAAUUCCAAGUGUAGCGGUGAAAUGCGUAGAGAUUUUGAAGAACACCAGUGGCGAAGGCGACUUUCUGGACGAUGUCUGACGCUGAGGCGCGAAAGCUAGGGGAGCGAACGGGAUUAGAAACCCUGGUAGUCC
This 450-nucleotide ribosomal RNA is filed under the name uncultured bacterium. RNAcentral describes it as "partial 16S ribosomal RNA". It matches the Rfam family "Bacterial small subunit ribosomal RNA", at positions 354 to 796 of the family's 1533-position model. The record is from RNAcentral.